RNAcentral lists this ribosomal RNA (253 nucleotides) under uncultured bacterium. Its description in RNAcentral is "partial 16S ribosomal RNA". It matches the Rfam family "Bacterial small subunit ribosomal RNA", at positions 524 to 776 of the family's 1533-position model. The record is from RNAcentral.
GACAGAGGGUGCAAACGUUGUUCGGAAUUACUGGGCGUAAAGCGCGUGUAGGCGGCUUGGCAAGUCGGGUGUGAAAGCCCUGGGCUCAACCUAGGAAGUGCACUCGAAACUGCCUCGCUCGAGUACCGGAGAGGAAAGCGGAAUUCUCGGUGUAGAGGUGAAAUUCGUAGAUAUCGAGAGGAACACCGGUGGCGAAGGCGGCUUUCUGGACGGUUACUGACGCUGAGACGCGAAAGCGUGGGGAGCAAACAGG